This is a long non-coding RNA of Acanthopagrus latus (yellowfin seabream), 369 nucleotides long. RefSeq lists it as uncharacterized. The transcript is spliced from 3 exons. Lineage: Eukaryota; Metazoa; Chordata; Actinopteri; Spariformes; Sparidae. The record is from RefSeq and is a predicted model, not a curated record.
CUCAUUUACACUGUUCACUGUCCUUUUCUGCGUCUGGUCGCCUACACGCUAAAUACAUUCCUCUCGCUUACACGGAUCAAUCCUACGUCAAAGCACGUGUCAGACUUGAGAAGGGGAUGGUGGGUGGUGUGAGAGGGACACGAGCUGACCCACCAAACAAGAAACCAGGACAGGCGAAUGUCUUUCGUUGAGAUGUCAGGACAUUUUCCAGUCGUGCGCUGCAACAAAACCAGAAAACAGCUGGAACUGGCAAGUCCACUAAAGUUCCUGUCUCUGCUCCGCUCCUCGACUGUUUGGACUCCACUCCCACAGUGAAACGAUAAAGAGGAGAAAGGCGUUAGAAAGAGCGACUGUAAAUGACAGCAAACC